Long non-coding RNA from Apis mellifera (honey bee), 4274 nucleotides. RefSeq lists it as uncharacterized. Lineage: Eukaryota; Metazoa; Arthropoda; Insecta; Hymenoptera; Apidae. The transcript has 2 exons. The record is from RefSeq and is a predicted model, not a curated record.
UAUAUCUAUAUUUACAUACAAAAGCAUUUUCUACGAUUGUCAAAUAUCAAGAGAGAUAUCUUUUGCUUAUUCAACAACAAUUCUCACGUUAACGUGCUCGGCGUUGGUUAUAUUUCAACCGAACUUCCGUUUGCGUCUGGAUUCUACGUUAAAAUGAACAAUGAAAUGCAUAAAUGAAUGUAUAAUACGAAAUUUGGAGAAUAUGUAGCGUAUAAUCCAUCUUACGUAUCCAUCAUCACGCGAUAUAUUUAUUAUUUCCUCGCGUUUCUUCCAUCAUUAUUAAAACACAAUCAAGAUUUUCUUUUCAAAUUUCUUUCGGAUUAAUUUCAACGGACAAUUUACAAAGCAUUCAUUAUGAUUUAGGGAGGAGAAGCUAGUAAAACGGAAGCUAGUCUCGGUUACCUCGUCCUGUUAUGAAUGUGUUAACGUAGAUGAGAUACUGAAUAGAGCUAUAAUCGGGUUCCAUUGAAACGAGCGACACAAACUUCAUCAACUAUUAGAAUUCCCAACACCAGUUUUGACUGCGGGAUAUCAAUAUUAAUAUCAGUAUUAACGAGCGAUAAUAAAUAAAUAAAGGAAAUAAUCGAACGAGCGAAUCUCCUUCGUACAUACGAAAACAAAAAUAAAGUCUUUAUUUCGAACAAUGUACGUAUACAAUGUCUUCUACCUAUUAUAUAUUUAUUAUUCUCGUGGAUAAUACUGGCAGAAUCGAAACGACUCUUGUAUCGGUCGGACGAUCUUGCGAGGUUUCCUCUUACGAAUUUUAAAAACCACGAACGAGUUUGCUUCAAAUCGCAAGUAUAAAUUUCUUCUUAUUUUUAUAUAAUGCGCGAUAAAAAUAAUAAAAAGGAGUAAUAAAAUAUAUUCAGACAGACUCGAGGUUUAAUCAAAAUAUCAAGAUGCCAAGAAGGUGCUCGAAUAAUUUCGUUGGUGCAAGCAUUAUCAAAGGAUCGUCCUUCCAACCACGACCGGAAGCCGAAGAAUUUUCUCUCUCGGCACAAUUCCGCCGAAAAAAUUUUCUCAACUUUAUCGAACUCGAUACGAAGUGAAAACAAUAUUCGAAUUCUUUCGAAUUCAUGCACGAAGCUCUACGUGGAGGCGCAAAUGUGGCAAAGACGUAACGCAUUGACGUUAAUCUAGCAGUUUUCAUUAAAAGCGGGCGUCGACUGUGCAUAAACUGGGACGAAAUAGCCCCGGUAACGAGGUUAAGGAUUAUCCACAGGCGACGUCGCCUGUUUCUCGUUUAUUCGCCGUUCGUUUCUCUCUCGCCGAUCCCGCGGAAUACGGGGAAAUAAAAUUUCGGGGGCUUUAAUUACCGGUGGGCGCAGCCACCACCCAAGUCCUCCUUCAGGGGUCCUUUUUUUUUCUUUUAUUCUCUUCGUCUCACUCGACCCCUUGGCUUGCCCGUUAUGACGAAAUUAUGCGCGGGAUGGGUUUUUUCCCCUCUUCGUGGUUUAAGCGAGGGUUAAACUGGAUUUUUGGCUCGCCGCGGUGUUGUUUAUUGGAUGAUCGGUAAAUGUGAUGAUAAAAUUAAGGAAUUCAAAAUAAUUAUUCGUUUGUGGAUAUUCAUUAUGAAUCAAUCAUGUGGAAAUAUUAGUUGAUUUUUGUUAUUUUUAAUUAUGUUGUUGGAUGAAAUGUUUUAAAAAUUGUAAUGUUUCAGAUGCAGAACGAUGUAUAGUUUUGGAAAUGGGUUAAAUUAAAGAUUUUACGAUCUAUUACACCAAUAGAAGGGUACAAGAGGAUUUUAAUUUUAAUAUGUAAUUUCGACGAAACGAGUGUUCAAUUUAACGCCCUCUUUAAAACGCCACGUUAAUUCAUAAUCACAACCACCAGAGACCCCUACUGGCGUGAAACGGAGGCUGUAUCGAUAGGGGAGGAGGAGGUCAAAUAAGAUGGGGGGGCGUAGAUUUUCGCGCACGUGCUUUUUCACGAAAUUUAAUCUCUGUUGGAGGUGGAUUGGAACGGCGCGAGGUCGAUCGUGUCUGAUUGUAUAUUCAUACGACACGGGCUGAAAAACACGCCUUCGGGGCGACAGUAACGAGAAACGCGACGUAAUCUGUCGCUUCGAGGCGAAGUAGACGCGGCCACGCCGUGAAAAAUUAUGGGAUACCGGAUAUCCGGUUGACACGGAUGGAAAAUGUCGAGUGUAUCGCGGUUGAUUUUCUUUUUUCUUUUUUUUUAAUAAGGCUUCGAUCGUGGUCGAGAGCGAAAUUGUGCAUAAUUUAAGGUUGUCAUUUUUUUAAUUACAAUAUCGUUUUUUUUUUUGCAAUUAUAAUGGUGGAACGAGAGAAUGGAGAGUAUGGAAUCGAUUGUAGAAGGAAGGAGAAUUUAUAGGAAUAGUUUAGUAAGAUUUAUUGCUUUUUGUUUUUGAUAAUUAUUUGGUCAUUGGGAAUAGAAUAGUUGGAUGAUGGAAUAUUAAGAUAGUUUAAGUAGAUUGGUCAAUGGUGAUUUUUCUUUUAAGUUUAAAGUCUGUUACGAUUCACAAAAUUUUCCAAAAGGUUAGAUCAGGUUAUCGAAUUCUUCGAGAAGGAAUUUCUUAGAAAUAUGAAUUUAUAUUGUAAAAUAAUAGGUAUAUUUUGAUUAUAGUACUUAUUAUCAUCUACUUUCGAUUCCGUUGAGUAGAGCUUAUGAUGUUUAUUCAGAUUUUUACGAACAUAAACGAAGAAAUGGAACGUGACAAGAAUUCAUUUCAUUCUCUAAAUAUUAUAUAUGAAUUUAUUUAGUAUAAUUUUGCAUAUUUUAUGCAUCCUGUAUAUUUUUGCAUAUUUAAGCUUACUAUAAAUGCAUUAUUGAUGAGGAAUAUUUCACGUCUAUUUAAAAGUCUGGCACAUAAAAUAUUAAAAAGAAGUCGAAUAAAUCGAUGCUCGUCAUCAAAAUCACGAUUCAUUUCGUCCACGAGAAAAACGUAACCGUAUUUCCGUCCAUUGCGAAAAAAAAACCUUCUUCAUCAUUUCGAACAAAAAAAAAAGAAAAAAAAAGAGAAUAAAAAGAAUUCUAAUUUUAUAAUCCCUCUUAAAACGAACGAGAUCGGUUAAACCAAAUUAGAAUUGGUAAACUUCUCGUUGUCUAAGCGUCGCGAACGAUCUUCUUUCGAAAGCGAGGGAAGAAAAAUGAUGGCGAAAAAAGCGUAGUCGAAGACAGAAGGAUAAAAGAAAGUGAAGGAGGCGAGCAAAGGGAGGGGGGAGGGAAAAAAGGAAUGGCUCGUACCUCGAACAGAAGAAGGGAUCUCGCGAGGGAGAAUUAUUUUUUAAUUCCGCCUGAGAGUACCGUGAUACUAAAUAAAAGAACGGGUUGUCUGCAGCUGGGCGGGAAACAUUUUUCCAGAAAUUGUGCCGCAAGUAAAAAUCAAGACCGUGAAAUAAGUCAAAGUAAUCUGAAAAAUAGAAGUGUGCCGUAAAUCAAUUUUUAAUUGAAAAUUGUCUCGCGGUUUUCCCGCUUUUCACGCUCGAAUACCUUUCUCUUCGAACUAAAUAUCAGGUGAGAAAUUAUUUUAUUCGUGGAAUUCGAUUUGAAUAUUAAUUAUAUCUUAUUUUUGCAUAUAGAAAAAGAUCAUCUAUUUUGAUUAUAUCAAUGAUAAAUUCAAUUUGUAAUGUUUCGAUCUCUAAUAAUUGUUCUUCAAUUUUUUGUUAGUUUCUUUCUCCGUCUUAAAAUUACGAUUAAAAUAUAAAAUAAAAAUAAACUUUCAUAUCUUCGAUAUAAUUCCAAUAUAGAAGGGAACUCGAAUUCAAAACUUUCCUAAUUAUUUCAAUUAUUACUCCAAAGUUAAAAUGAACGAUUCUCAAAAUUAUCAUUACCAUAAACCACAACGUCCCCAUCGAGAACAUGGUUCAAAAAAAAAAAAAAAAUGACACGUUAAAAUUGUGGAGGACCAUCGAGAUCGAGAAAGUGAGGAAUCGUGAUGGAGGAGGAUAUCGGAGAUGGAUGGAUCGAAAGGGGAAGCCCCGUGGAAAGAAACGCAUCUUUGCAUCGUGGAAAGACGAGCUUGUCCCAGGAGCGCGCUUCAACAAUCUGCAUUUUUCAGUCUUGAACUGGGCCAAGACGAUGGGAUGGCUGAUCGAAGCCAGGGAUGGGAGGAGAAAAUUCUAUAAAAAAUAAAAAAAAAAGGAAAAGAAGAAAAAACGAGGAGAAGGGGGAUAAUUUAUUCUCGAGUCGCUUUAAAUCAACGAUGAAAUCAGAGCCGAAAAACGUGUGAUAAUGAAGGAGGAUGGAAAAGAAAGGAGGAAGAAUGUCGACGGUGUUCGUUAAGGAGCGAAAUAUUUGGGUUGAAAAAAAAA